RNAcentral lists this unclassified non-coding RNA (195 nucleotides) under plant metagenome. RNAcentral's name for it is "partial contains small subunit ribosomal RNA, internal transcribed spacer 1, and 5.8S ribosomal RNA". The record is from RNAcentral.
UCUCCGUUGGUGAACCAGCGGAGGGAUCAUUACCGGGUUUACAACUCCCAAACCCCUGUGAACAUACCAUUUGUUGCCUCGGCGGUGCCUGCUUCGGCAGCCCGCCAGAGGACCCAAACCCUUGAUUUUAUACAGUAUCUUCUGAGUAAAUGAUUAAAUAAAUCAAAACUUUCAACAACGGAUCUCAUGGUUCUG